CAGUACCAAGGCUUGAGUCUCGAAGCAAAUCUCCAAAUCCAUAUUUGGUAAAGUAUCUGAGUAUAAUCCCAUUAAUGUCUUUAGAACAAGAGUUCCUGCAUACAUUUAAGGAGAUUUCAACCCACUUGUCUGUUGCUGUAAAAGCAGCUGUCUGGCUGCCUGCAAUGCCUGCAAGUUAAGACAACAUGGAAAACCAGUCUAACAUUCCCUGAGUGGCACCUGAAUGAAGAGAACCUACUCUCUGGAUCACUAUAC
Molecule: long non-coding RNA, 255 nt
Organism: Sceloporus undulatus (fence lizard)
Lineage: Eukaryota; Metazoa; Chordata; Lepidosauria; Squamata; Phrynosomatidae
Exons: 3
Source: RefSeq, a predicted model, not a curated record